CUCCACCACGCGAUAGGGUAUACGAAAGGUCAUGGAUCCAACUAGCUCGUCCUGUGAAAAUGCGUUUUCUCAAGGAGCUCCAAAAAAUGCUUCAUGAAGGUAGUAGCUGAAGUUCAGGGCGCGACUCAGCUCCUUGACGAUCUCCAUAACUAUGCCCUUGUGCUCCACGAUGUCCCCAUUGCUGUUUUUGGUAAGGAUUUGCCAGGGUGGAUUCUGCGAGCGAUUUGAACCAAUAAUAAGAACUAUAUUCCUGGCUCAAAAACUCACGUGCACGGUCAGAAUAUCCAUGGUUAUGUUGCGGAAGUGGUGCUCGAUGUGCGGAAAGGCCAGCUCCUGGCAGACGAAUCCCAGCACGGGUGUCCAAUAGCCAAUGUUGAUGAACUCGAAGUUUCGGUUCUUAGCGUCGCGUUGGGGAGCUGCUAAGAUAUUGAUAUCGGAGUUAUUCUAAUUUCGGAAUAGAAAUCGGACUGACUUGAGCGAAACUUGCGAUUCUCCUGGCUUUUUCCCCAUGUAAUGGCCGUCUCCACACGCCAUCUCGCACAGCUGGAGCACUUGGCAUUGCUCUUCAGAAAUUCCUGAUCCACAUAAGAAUAGAAUAAUAAGAAUAAGAGCAGGGUAUUUGUCAACUACAAUGUAAAUUUCAUAUGGAUAUUUUAAAAACAAAAGAGAAAGUAACUCGACUAUUAGAUACCCGGUACUCAGCUAGUGUUAGGUUGAGGAAGAAAUUUCAAUUGGCAAGAAAAACAAUAAAAUCAAAAAUAAUAAAAA
This is a long non-coding RNA of Drosophila mauritiana, 768 nucleotides long. RefSeq lists it as uncharacterized. The transcript has 2 exons. Lineage: Eukaryota; Metazoa; Arthropoda; Insecta; Diptera; Drosophilidae. The record is from RefSeq and is a predicted model, not a curated record.